RNAcentral lists this long non-coding RNA (1734 nucleotides) under Capsicum annuum. RNAcentral describes it as "long non-coding RNA (CANN_LNC000886)". Lineage: Eukaryota; Viridiplantae; Streptophyta; Magnoliopsida; Solanales; Solanaceae. The record is from RNAcentral.
GGAGACUAAAGGAUAAGACAUAAAAUUAUAGAAUGGUGUAGUGAAAUUUGAAACCAAAAAUUAUAAAAUUCAAUCAAAAUAUAUCAACUGAAAACAUAAGACAAUAAAAAGUUAAAAGCAUAUUUUGGAUGAAUGAAGAAUACCUAGAGAAACCAACAUGGGUUGUGAUGCAGUGGAUGUGGCUGUUCCACUUUUAACCAGAGGUUGAGAGUUCGAUCCUGUGUAUGGAUAAAACUCUGUUAGAAGUGCUGCCAUCUUAAUGGUCCCUACAAUGCGUGAUCCAGAUUAAUCGGGCUCCAAUACGGACAUCGGACAACCGUAUGGAAAAAAAAAAAAAAGAAGAAUACCUAGAGAAACUGAACAAAACUAUGAUAUGUCUGUUUAUUUCAAGGGUUAAAAGACACGUUGCAUAAACUGUGUUUAAAAUCUAAAAUAUCCUUAUGCUAAUUUAAAAAAGAAAACUAGAAGGAACGUUCUUUUCUCUCUCAUAUCUUUCAUGCAAAAACCCUUAAAAAAAACUCAACUUUUACCAGAUUCUAUCGCCACAAGAGCCACCCCUCGACAAUUGGUAAGAUAUCUUAAAUGUCGCCUGACCUACUCCAAGAAUUAUAUCACCCAAAGAGCCCACCAUUAUCAAAAAAUCAAAACCCUUAAUCCAGAUAUUGCCUACGGUUGAUUUGCCUAGCAAGGAUGGGAAUACUGAAUCCAGUGGUGAUUUGUAUAAUCAGAGGGGCAAAAUACAAUAUGUGGAUUUAGUUAAACCAAUCAAUAUUAAUGUGUAAGGCAAAUAAAAUAUGGAGCAGUCGGAUCUAUUCCUGUCAAUAGUUUGUCAUACAACAACAGUGUUCCUAGGGUAACAGGAACUGAAGAGGAGGUACUAAAGAUAAAUGUAAUAAAGAGUUUGCAGUAUGCAAUUAUUGAAAUUUUUUUGUAUAGGUGGCUUGAGUUAGAGGAGCUCAGACUUCAAAUGUCAAAAUAGUGUAAGGUACAAAGGGAAUUGUAAGAUUGGCUUUUGGAAUAGGCAUAUCCUCAUGAGAUUUAAACUUAUUGAGGAUUAUGUAAAUAUAUUAUCAAAAAAUGAACAUUGUAUUAUGGCAAAGGAUGGAAUCUUAUCAGAUGACACCACUCAUAUAUGAAACAAGGUUUACAUUUGAUGAAGAAAUCACUCAGGCUAUGACAUGGAUCUUCUUCCUAGAUUUAUUGCCUACUUUUUUUUAAAAAAAAAGUCUACUUUUUCACUUGAUACGGAUGUAGGAAAACCAAUGCAUUUAGAUAUGACAACAAUCAACAAGAUAUGAUCAAGUUGUACCUGGGUGAAAAUUUAAGUUGAUUUGGCAAGUGAGGUGUCGGAGUAUGUGGAGCUAGAGGUUGUUGGGAGCUGUGAGAAGGGGUUGAGGACUGAAAAAAUCAAAAUUCAAUAUGACUUUCUUCAAAAAUACUAUAAAAAAUUACAAACUACAGGUUCAAAAUGAAGAGGGAUAUAUUAUGUCCAAGAAGAGAUAAUUAAAGCAGAAGAAGAAAAAGUGAGUCCCAAGCGGGAUAGCAGGCCUAGAACCUAUCGGGGGUAGAAGAGGGACACAAAAAGGUGGAAUUCUACAAGUAGAUUUGUGGUUGAAAUAAAUCCAACUACUUGAGUGAUAAAAAUGUCUUACCAAGAGAAAAGAAUGUCCAUUCAGAUAACCCUUUUCAAACCUUAGCUGAUGUGAAUGAUAAUGAGGAGUAGGUGGGAAGUGC